UACGUAGGGGGCUAGCGUUGUCCGGAUUUAUUGGGCGUAAAGAGCUCGUAGGCGGUCUGUCGCGUCUGCUGUGAAAACUCGGGGCUUAACCCCGGGCCUGCAGUGGGUACGGGUAGACUAGAGUGCGGUAGGGGAGACUGGAAUUCCCGGUGUAGUGGUGAAAUGCGUAGAUAUCGGGAGGAACACCAGUGGCGAAGGCGGCUUCCUGGCCUGUUCUUGACGCUGAGGCGCGAAAGCUAGGGUAGCAAACGGG
This 253-nucleotide ribosomal RNA is filed under the name uncultured bacterium. RNAcentral describes it as "partial 16S ribosomal RNA". It matches the Rfam family "Bacterial small subunit ribosomal RNA", at positions 524 to 776 of the family's 1533-position model. The record is from RNAcentral.